GGAGAGGUGGCUGAGUGGUCGAAAGCGGCAGCCUGCUAAGUUGUUAGGGGAGCAAUCCCCUCGAGGGUUCGAAUCCCUCCCUCUCCG
This 87-nucleotide transfer RNA is filed under the name Aphanothece hegewaldii CCALA 016. It matches the Rfam family "tRNA". Rfam says of the family: Transfer RNA (tRNA) molecules are approximately 80 nucleotides in length. Their secondary structure includes four short double-helical elements and three loops (D, anti-codon, and T loops). Lineage: Bacteria; Bacillati; Cyanobacteriota; Cyanophyceae; Chroococcales; Aphanothecaceae. The record is from Rfam by way of RNAcentral.